This is an RNA transcript of Peromyscus leucopus (white-footed mouse), 1555 nucleotides long. It is a transcript of the gene named acyl-CoA thioesterase 7, with no coding region annotated. Lineage: Eukaryota; Metazoa; Chordata; Mammalia; Rodentia; Cricetidae. The record is from RefSeq and is a predicted model, not a curated record. The transcript is spliced from 10 exons.
CAGGGGAGGGGGGAGGGGCCUAAGCAUGGGCGGGGCCUCCGGGGGGCGGCCCUGUGUGAUUCGCCGCCUCCGCGCAGGCCCCGCCUCUCCGGUGCCAUGGUCCCGCCCCCUUCCUCCCCCUCUAUGGCGCCUCCCAGGCUCAUUCAUUCGGCGCCCGGCCUGCUAGACACCUGUUCUCAGCUCCCGCUGCCGUCCACCGUCGCAGAAAAGAUGUCAGGCCCCGCCACGGACGCACCGUCCGCCAUUCAGAUCUGCCGGAUCAUGCGGCCAGAUGAUGCCAACGUGGCUGGCAAUGUUCAUGGAGGGACCAUUUUGAAGAUGAUUGAGGAGGCAGGGGUCAUCAUCAGCACCCGGCACUGUAAUAGCCAGAAUGGGGAGCGCUGUGUGGCUGCCCUGGCCCGGGUGGAGCGCACUGACUUCCUGUCGCCCAUGUGCAUCGGGGAGGUGGCUCAUGUCAGUGCGGAGAUCACCUACACGUCCAAGCAUUCUGUGGAGGUCCAGGUCCACGUGAUGUCGGAGAACAUCCUCACAGGUACCAAAAAGCUGACCAAUAAGGCCACCUUGUGGUAUGUGCCCCUGUCACUGAAGAAUGUGGACAAGGUCCUCGAGGUGCCUCCUAUUGUGUAUUCACGGCAGGAGCUGGAGGAAGAGGGUCGGAAACGCUAUGAAGCCCAGAAGCUGGAGCGCAUGGAGACCAAGUGGAGGAACGGGGACAUUGUCCAGCCUGUCCUGAACCCAGAGCCCAACACAGUGAGCUACAGCCAGUCCAGCUUGAUCCACCUGGUGGGGCCCUCGGACUGCACCCUUCAUGGCUUCGUGCACGGAGGUGUCACCAUGAAGCUCAUGGAUGAGGUGGCUGGGAUUGUGGCUGCACGCCACUGCAAGACCAACAUCGUCACAGCUUCCGUGGAUGCAAUCAAUUUUCACGACAAGAUCCGGAAAGAAAUGGCCAUGUCCUGCACUGAAGCGCCCUGUGCUGCGUCAUCACCAUCUCUGGACGUAUGACCUUCACGAGCAAUAAGUCCAUGGAAAUUGAGGUCCUGGUGGACGCCGACCCUGUGGUGGACAACUCACAGAAGCGGUACCGGGCCGCCAGUGCCUUCUUCACCUAUGUGUCCCUGAACCAGGAUGGCAAGCCACUGCCUGUACCUCAGCUUGUGCCUGAGACUGAGGAUGAGAAGAAGCGCUUUGAAGAAGGCAAAGGCCGCUAUCUGCAGAUGAAGGCGAAGCGGCAGGGCCACACGGAGCCUCAGCCCUAGGUGUCUUCCUGCUACCCCUGGGGUCAGCACAGUUGAGGCGGCAGCCCCAUGUGCAGUCACUUAGAAGUACCCCCUUGGCCAGAACCCCAUUUCCACUGAGAGCUGGUGUUGUGAAGUAUUGUGUGGCAGUGUUACCUGUGCCCCAUUCCCAAAACCUGUGCACCAAAGCUUUAUUUAUACCCCUCCAGUAACUGCUCCCCAGUGUUGUCCCAAAGGCCACCACGGACACCAGAGCACUGAAUGGUCUGUGAAGAAACCCAGCACCACUAAUAAAGCUGCUGUCUGGCUGGACCCAU